RNAcentral lists this ribosomal RNA (134 nucleotides) under Phytophthora infestans T30-4. RNAcentral's name for it is "5.8S ribosomal RNA". It matches the Rfam family "5.8S ribosomal RNA", at positions 23 to 154 of the family's 154-position model. From Rfam's summary of the family: 5.8S ribosomal RNA (5.8S rRNA) is a component of the large subunit of the eukaryotic ribosome. It is transcribed by RNA polymerase I as part of the 45S precursor that also contains 18S and 28S rRNA. Functionally, it is thought that 5.8S rRNA may be involved in ribosome translocation. Lineage: Eukaryota; Oomycota; Peronosporomycetes; Peronosporales; Peronosporaceae. The record is from RNAcentral.
AGGCUCGCACAUCGAUGAAGAACGCUGCGAACUGCGUUACGUAAUGCGAAUUGCAGGAUUCAGUGAGUCAUCGAAAUUUUGAACGCAUAUUGCACUUCCGGGUUAGUCCUGGAAGUAUGCCUGUAUCAGUGUCC